GAUGAACGCUGGCGGCGUGCCUAAUACAUGCAAGUCGAGCGAACAGACGAGGAGCUUGCUCCUUUGACGUUAGCGGCGGACGGGUGAGUAACACGUAGGUAACCUAACUAUAAGACUGGGAUAACUUCGGGAAACCGGAGCUAAUACCGGAUAAUAUUUCGAACCGCAUGGUUCGAUAGUGAAAGAUGGCUUUGCUUUCACUUAUAGAUGGACCUGCGCCGUAUUAGCUAGUUGGUAAGGUAACGGCUUACCAAGGCAACGACGCGUAGCCGACCUGAGAGGGUGAUCGGCCACACUGGAACUGAGACACGGUCCAGACUCCGACGGGAGGCAGCAGUAGGGAAUCUUCCGCAAUGGGCGAAAGCCUGACGGAGCAACGCCGCGUGAGUGAUGAAGGUGUUCGGAUCGUAAAACUCUGUUAUUAGGGAAGAACAAACGUGUAAGUAACUGUGCACGUCUUGACGGUACCUGGACAGAAAGCCACGGCUAACUACGUG
Molecule: ribosomal RNA, 497 nt
Filed under: uncultured bacterium
Lineage: Bacteria
Description: partial 16S ribosomal RNA
Rfam family: Bacterial small subunit ribosomal RNA
Source: RNAcentral